Molecule: small RNA, 18 nt
Filed under: Arabidopsis thaliana (thale cress)
Lineage: Eukaryota; Viridiplantae; Streptophyta; Magnoliopsida; Brassicales; Brassicaceae
Description: ATSL126630
Source: RNAcentral
AAAAAAGAAGACAAAAAU